Molecule: ribosomal RNA, 252 nt
Filed under: uncultured bacterium
Lineage: Bacteria
Description: partial 16S ribosomal RNA
Rfam family: Bacterial small subunit ribosomal RNA
Source: RNAcentral
UACGAGGGGGCUAGCGUUGCUCGGAAUCACUGGGCGUAAAGCGCACGUAGGCGGAUUGCUAAGUCAGGGGUGAAAUCCUGGAGCUCAACUCCAGAACUGCCUUUGAUACUGGCGACCUUGAGUCCGGGAGAGGUGAGUGGAACUGCGAGUGUAGAGGUGAAAUUCGUAGAUAUUCGCAAGAACACCAGUGGCGAAGGCGGCUCACUGGCCCGGUACUGACGCUGAGGAGCGAAAGCGUGGGGAGCGAACAGG